UGGUGUUGAAGAAGUGUGAGCCCAUGACCACGAUCGAGAUUUCAACAAUCGCAUAGAACGCGACACCACGAAGCACUUGAACAAGAACAACUCGCUCGGACUCAAAUGCAGCGAGGCCAAAAGCGCAGAGAAGACUCGGUUCUCGCCGGAAUUGAAGAAUCUCUUCACUCUGGAAUCUCCGUCGUUCACUCUGGUUUUGGCGCGGAGGUAUUCGGCGGCGAGGCGGGAGUGGAGAGACUUGAUUCUAUCCUGAUUCUGGUCCAGCACAAUUGCGUCCAGCCCUUUACCCAAGAAUCCAGUAAUUCUUCUGCUCAUCUCAAUUUUUUUUUUGGGGGUUUUUGAUUAUUUCAAUCUGUUUCUUAAAACCCUAGAUUGGAUUGGUUCAAUUUGAGUAAAGUUAAUGGCUUUUUGUGAAUUCCUUGUCUCAAUUUUUUUGGGGGUUUUUGAUUCUUUGAAUCUGGUUUGUAAAACUCUAGAUUGAAUUGGUUUAAUUUGAGUAAAGUUAGUUGCUUUUUGUGGAUUUGUGGUGAUGCAGAGGCUGGGCGUAAAGUUCAGUACAUUGCGGUGUAUGAUAUAACAUACUCCAUCGACUUAGGUUUGCAAAAUUUCUGGCGGUUGUGGCCCAGGAGCUUGAUUUAGUUCAUUUUUUUGUGUAUUUUUUGUUUGGUGAAUUUUGGGGGUCGGAUUGGUGUUUUAUCUACAUUUGCUUUGUUUUGGUAGUGCAAACAAUUUCUUGCUGGUCUACUUGAGCACGGCAGACUUACACAGCAACAAUUAAUGGACAGAGCCAAUCAGAAAUCCAAAUCAAAUAGCAGUCAAGUUCAGAAUGCUGCUCAAGAUAACUUUGUUAGACUUGUGACUGCUCGUUUUGUUGAACGUUGCCCGGCCCCUGAACCACUUCUUGAAGAAGCACCUGAACAAGAAGGUCCAAAGAAGCCACGCUCUAAAUCUGCUAAGGAAUUAUGACCACAAUAUUAUUGGCACUUCUUCAUAUAAACAGAGGGCAUGCCAAUAUUAUUACUGAAAUGGCGGAGGUAUUCGGCGGUGGUGACGAGGCGUUGCGAUUGAGAAUUGGAGCUGAGCACGCCAUUAUUUACAUCGAUAGAGCCUCUGUAGGGAUUUGAAGGAGAUAGGCCUUGACCUUGGCUGCGAUUUUUCAUCUCCGCCUGUGCAGGUAACUGUAAUAUCUUUAUCGAUUUGAAAUCGAUUUGUGUAGUUGUGCUAUUGUGAAGUUUGUGUUUGUUUUUUUCUUAUAUUUUUUUUACACAAGUUUGUAUUUGUUUUAUGCAUAGACGAUUUCCAAUUAACAUUCUCAACAUUGGAAACCGCUUGCAAGAACUUCUUUAUGGUUGUUAACUAUUGGAGCUUGAAUGAUAAUAAUCCUUGUUCUUCACUGUGCUUAAUAUGUUGUACACACUACAAAACUAAAAUUUUAUGUUAUGUCUCUCUAUUGAUGUAGUUGUAUGAGCUCUUGGGCUGUCUGGGUUAUAACUCAUUCCGUUCAAGUGUUUGUCUUGUGUUUUCAUGUUAUGCAGAAUAUCUGUCUUGUACAAGUGCAUUUGAAGAGAGACAAAGAGUUGGUUAUUCAAAUCACUAACAGUUUCAAAUAUAGACAUGGUGUUUUGAUUGAAUUUUGAUUACAUGCCAAAAGUAUUAUGUUGGCCACACCUAAGAUUGAAGCUGAAUGACGAAUACUUUGACAGAAAUGAUUUGAAAAUCAUAUUUUCAUUGAUUCAGACUAGAACCAGAAGAUCACAGUUCACUAGCCAUCACCACCUAAAUUCAGUGCAACAAAGUCCAGUUUUAUUAUAUAUCUUAUUCUCUGAUAAGUUGAAUUCUUGUUUUUUCUUUUUGAAAAUUGAAUUAUUGAUCUUGAUACUUGUUGGUGCAUAACAACAGGUCAGUCCAGACCUCUAUGGUGACAGCAACACGAUGUCAAUAUACUUGUCUGGAAGGUAAAAUCAUAUUAGUUGCUACUUCCAGUUAGGUUUUUAUUUUUAGGACUGCAACUUGGUGAGGCACAAGAAGUUGUUAUGGGUUAUUUAGUACUAUGGACUGAACCCUUGCUUUUAGGACAACUUGGUGAGGCACAAGGAAGUUAUUAUGGGUUUAGUUCAGUUCAUAUAGGGCUGUGAGUCUUGUGACAAUGAGUUACAAUCUUGUAGAGUAGGUGAAAGAAAUGAAUGUAAAGUAGUGUAGGAAAUGGAUUCUCCUUUACUUGUAAGCAAAUUUUAUAUGAUGUACAAUGAUUAUAUAAAUGAAGUUUAUUUUACUAACAAAAAUAUAGAAUCAAGAAAUAAUAAAUAAAUUGUGAAUUUUUUAUUAUUAAUUUUUUUUUAAUUUUUUCAAACAUCAUUUACGGCGUGCAUGAUAUGUGUGCAGUAAAUGUAACUCUCAUUUACGGCAUACAUUUAACUCAUUUACGACGCAUAUUAUAACUCAUUUACGGCGUGCAUAGUAAGUGUGCCGUAAAUGCACCUCUCUUUUACGGCCCACUUUUAGCUCAUUUACGACGCACGCUGAGACUCAUUUACAGCGCACAUAAUGUGUGCCGUAAAUGAUAGUUGUCUUUUACGGCAUGUCCAUUUACGGCCUGCAUUUGUGGGCCGUAAAAUGUCAUUUAUGGCGCACAUUGUGGGCCGUAAAAGACCUUUUUUCUGGUAGUGUGUUACCCCUAAACCACAGGGUACUAAACUGAAAUUAAUCCAAAAAACAAACUAUAGGUAAAAUGCAAAGAAAUAUAAAGGGCACAAUCCAAGAGCAAGGGGAAGAAGUUAGGGUAACAUUUUGAUUGCAGGCAACCAAACAAGCAAAUCAUAAGAAAUUUAAUACCUAACAUCUACAAAAUACUACAGUCCCAUGGAGACACUAACCACAAUUUAGCCCUUGAUGUUCUCUCUUUCUUUGUAGUGUAUGUUUGUACAUCUUGUUCUCUCCCAUUUGUGAAAGACAAAAUAGAAAAUUUUGGUUGCUACAAAGUUUACUUGACCAAGAACCAAUAGGAUAUCCCAUCAACAUCAAAUCAUUCUUUCAACUUGAUAUCCUACUACCCAGGCACACAUAUAUGCUUUUGAGCACUGACAAGUGAAAUGUA
Molecule: long non-coding RNA, 3094 nt
Organism: Rosa rugosa (rugosa rose)
Lineage: Eukaryota; Viridiplantae; Streptophyta; Magnoliopsida; Rosales; Rosaceae
Exons: 3
Source: RefSeq, a predicted model, not a curated record